CAAUAGCGUAUAUUAAAGUUGUUGCAGUUAAAAAGCUCGUAGUUGAAUUUCGGGUGCUCGUGCUCGGUGCUUGAUUGUGCCGUCGCGUGUGCCCUCCUCGCCUUUGGCGUCAUUUACUGUGAAAAAAUUAGAGUGUUCAAAGCAGGCAUUCGCUUGAAUACAUUAGCAUGGAAUAAUAAGAUAGGAUCUUGUCUAUUUUGUUGGUUGCGGACAAAGAUAAUGAUUAAUAGGGAUAGUUGGGGGUGUCCGUAUUGAGCUGUCAGAGGUGAAAUUCUUAGAUUUGCUCAAGACGAACUACUGCGAAAGCAUUCACCAAGGAUGUUUUCAUUAA
Molecule: ribosomal RNA, 331 nt
Filed under: uncultured eukaryote
Lineage: Eukaryota
Description: partial 18S ribosomal RNA
Rfam family: Eukaryotic small subunit ribosomal RNA
Source: RNAcentral